GCCUUCGUGGUGUAAUGGUCAGCACACUCGGCGCAUAUUCGAGAGGUUCGAGGUUCGAGUCCCGGUGAGGGCA
Stegodyphus mimosarum is the source of this 73-nucleotide non-coding RNA. NCBI's taxonomy places the organism in Eukaryota, Metazoa, Arthropoda, Arachnida, Araneae, Eresidae. The record is from Rfam.